RNAcentral lists this long non-coding RNA (1183 nucleotides) under Bos indicus x Bos taurus (hybrid cattle). Its description in RNAcentral is "lncRNA (ENSBIXG00000023119.1)". The record is from RNAcentral. Lineage: Eukaryota; Metazoa; Chordata; Mammalia; Artiodactyla; Bovidae.
UGCCCUUGAGGGCACCACUUGAUUCAGCUUCUACAUCUUUCCAUGUAUCCUAUUAUUUCUGAAAUCACUUUGCCUAUAUGUCCUUAAAAUACCUAAAAAUAUACACUCCUUACUAGAUGGCACUUAAUUUCAUUUUAAAUUUUAAAAGAGGAAAAAUGUUAGUGCCUUUUAUCCUGGAAUCUGACAUUUCUUCUUGGGUCAGAAUAUCUGGAGUUUCUGUGGUUCAUCAAUGUCCAGGAAACUAAGCACUAAACCUUUCACAGAUUUCUGCUAUAAAGAUUUUUACAAACAUACACUGAUGCAAAGGCUCAGUUGUCACCUCGAAAGACAGUGGUGUUCCUCAGCCUUCCUGUCUGGCCCUGAUUAGCACAGACAUAAAUAGUGUAGGCCUCUGGUGUGGCCUUGUCACAGUUCACUCACCUUGGCUAUUAAUGGCCUUUACCUGACAGAGCAAAUGACCUGUCAUGGGUCGAGUGAACAAAAGAAAUCAUAAAUAUUCAAGCAAAAGGGGAAAAAAUAUAGGCACAUGUAAAGUUCUAAGCCAAGGUCACCCAGCCUAUAGCUGUCAGCCAGAAAUUGUCACCGUCUUUCCUCCCAUGAGGCAUUACUGCGUGGAGAACAUGUGUUCCUGUGACCUGGCUUCCAUGUUGGACUCGGACACCAAGGCCUGGAUUCACCACCACUCCACCACUGCAGCGGGAGCUCAAGGAGUCUCAGCUUAUUUCUUAGGAAAUUACCUCCAGGCCUGCCAAAGUCACAGAGAGCUGUGGGAUUUCACUCGUCUUUGCAUGUGGAACACUUGAACAUCCCUCGUGAUUUUCUUCACUCCUAUUUACUGAAGAGAAAACAGAAGAUCUGGGAAAGAUCUGGGCUGCUUGCCUCUGGUCUCUUGUCUGCCCUGCUGGCAAGCAUCCAGGUGACAGUUCCAGGAAUGAGGCUGGGGACUGUGAACAGAUCCAUACCUGCUGCUUCAGUUCAGUUCAGUUCAGUCGCUCAGUCGUGUCCAACUCUUUGCGACCCCAUGAAUCGCAGCACGCCAGACCUCCCUGUCCAUCACCAACUCCUGGAGUUCACUCAAACUCAUGUGCAUCGAGUUGGUGAUGCCAUCCAGCCAUCUCAUCCUCUGUCGUCCCCUUCUCCUCCUGCCCCCAACCCCUCCCAGCAUCAGGGUCUUUUCCAAUGA